UACGAAGGGGGCUAGCGUUGUUCGGAAUUACUGGGCGUAAAGCGCGUGUAGGCGGUUGUUCAAGUUGGAUGUGAAAGCCUUGAGCUCAACUCAAGAAAUGCAUUCAGGACUGGGCGGCUAGAGGACCGGAGAGGAUAGUGGAAUUCCCAGUGUAGUGGUGAAAUACGUAGAGAUUGGGAAGAACACCAGUGGCGAAGGCGGCUAUCUGGACGGUUUCUGACACUAAGACUCGAAAGCGUGGGGAGCAAACAGG
This 253-nucleotide ribosomal RNA is filed under the name uncultured bacterium. Its description in RNAcentral is "partial 16S ribosomal RNA". It matches the Rfam family "Bacterial small subunit ribosomal RNA", at positions 524 to 776 of the family's 1533-position model. The record is from RNAcentral.